Paramuricea clavata is the source of this 498-nucleotide non-coding RNA. Lineage: Eukaryota; Metazoa; Cnidaria; Anthozoa; Malacalcyonacea; Plexauridae. The record is from the annotation of a GenBank genome assembly.
AAAUCUCAACAUUGUGGACAGCUUAGCUAGCUACAACUGCCAGCCGCUACUUAUAAUGUAGAGGUACUUAGCAAUGAUGCAUGGAUAAACUCCGUCAAAGUUUAUUUUAUUAAAAUUCCACUAACCCCAAAUAUAAUAUUUGGUAUGUGUAAUAUUUGUCAUUCUAAGAAGAAACGUACUGUAAUAUAUAUUUAUAGUAAAAAAACUAUCGUCCAAUCCCAUCAUCGAAAUUGAGCUGUGACUCUUUAUUUACAAUGCCACGGCCUUUGCUUGUUAGUUAUCUACAUGAAAAUUUGGCCGUAGAAUUGAACAUAAGAAACACUUAAGCGAAUAUUUUUGCUGACAAGGAAUGAAAACAAUGCUUAAAAGAGUGAGAAUAAAACUGUUUAAACAUAGGGAGAUGAGGCUGAAUUUUGGAAUGGGAAAUUGUUGUUAACUCCUCGACGGAAUGAGGAAUUUAUUUUUAAUGUGACUUGGAAUACCGAAUUUUCAGUUUAA